Non-coding RNA from Vigna radiata var. radiata (mung bean), 137 nucleotides. The record is from Rfam. NCBI's taxonomy places the organism in Eukaryota, Viridiplantae, Streptophyta, Magnoliopsida, Fabales, Fabaceae.
UUUCCAUAAACUAAUGAGUAAGGAAAACAAAGCAAGCAGUGGGAGCUGUUUGCAGCACUCAUUCUGCUGUGCACAAAUUUUUUAAGGGGUUAUAGGCUGCCUUUGAGCAGCUGCUGCUUACAAAUGCUACUUAACUG